RNAcentral lists this ribosomal RNA (483 nucleotides) under uncultured Methanomassiliicoccales archaeon. RNAcentral's name for it is "bacterial SSU rRNA". It matches the Rfam family "Archaeal small subunit ribosomal RNA", at positions 333 to 816 of the family's 1478-position model. The record is from RNAcentral. Lineage: Archaea; Methanobacteriati; Thermoplasmatota; Thermoplasmata; Methanomassiliicoccales.
CAGCAGUCGCGAAAACUUCACAAUGGGGGCAACCCCGAUGAGGGAAUUCCUAGUGCUAGCACUUUUUGUGUUAGCUUUUCUUUAGCGUAGAUAACUAAAGGAAUAAGGGCUGGGUAAGACGGGUGCCAGCCGCCGCGGUAAUACCCGCAGCCCAAGUGGUGGUCGAUUUUAUUGAGUCUAAAACGUUCGUAGCCGGUCUGAUAAAUCCUUGGGUAAAUCGGAAAGCUUAACUUUCCGAAUUCCGAGGAGACUGUCAGACUUGGGACCGGGAGAGGCUAGAGGUACUUCUGGGGUAGGGGUAAAAUCCUGUAAUCCUAGAAGGACCACCGGUGACGAAGGCGUCUAGCUAGAACGGAUCCGACGGUGAGGGACGAAGCCCUGGGUCGCAAACGGGAUUAGAUACCCCGGUAGUCCAGGGUGUAAACGCUGCAGACUUGGUGUUGGAGACCCUUCGAGGGUAUUCAGUGCCGGAGAGAAGUUGUU